CAGUCAUAUGCUUCGUUCAAGGGCUAAGCCAUGCAUGUCUCAGCGCACAUGGAAUCGACAGUGGGUCUGUGAAUGGCUCCUUACAUCAGCAGUCAUCUCCGUGAUAGAGUGUGGUCGGAGCCAGCCCCCAAUUCCCUGCCAGGCUCCCAGUGGGACAUCCUCCAAAACCUUGUGGCUAAUACACGCGCGCCCAGGUCGGCCGUGGGAACGUCUGUCUCGACCCAAGCGGCACUGUCCGGCUUCGUCGACCUCUUGGCAGGCCGACGGCCGAUUGCGCCCAGCCGAUCGAAAGAUCAGCGCCCCUCCGACGGGCAGCGUUCCUGGUGGCUGACUCAGGCUGGUCCCCAAACCCUCGGGGACGGUCGCUCUGGCAGAGUUUUGCGGCGGUCCCUCCGUGGGCCGCCCGUGGCAUUGCUUGAUCACACGAACUUCUGACCUAUCAGCUGGGAUUGUGGUGUAGUGGACCACAAUGGCCGUGACGGGUAACGGAGAAUCAGGGUUCGAUUCCGGAGAGGGAGCCUGAGAGACGGCUACCACUGCCAAGGCGGGCAGCAGGCACGCAAAUUGCCCAAUGGAGAAACACCGUCCGAGGCAGCGACGAACCGUAGCAAUCCCGCCGGGAUUCUUCCCCAGCGGGACUUGGAAUGGAUGCAAUCCAAACACAGUGAUGAGUAUCAACUGGAGGGCAAGUCUGGUGCCAGCAGCUGCGGUAAUUCCAGCUCCAAGGGCGUAUACUGACAUUGCUGCUGUUAAAACACCUGUAGUCUGCCACUGGGUUCAGGUCUGCCGGGCGGCCGGGCCGUCGGUCCCGGCCCGCUCCCGCCGCGGCCCUUCCUCCCCUCCGGGGUGCGAAGGCCGCGCGCGGGGCGGGCGCGGGGGCCGGUCGGCUCGGGCAAAACCCCCGGCGGUAUGCUCCUGCGCCCGCAAGUUCAAACAGCGGUGUGAGUCGCUCCUGCCGAAAGUCCCCUUCACUGGGGGCCCAGGUGGCCCAGUGCCCCCGACGCAGGCGUGGGGAUCAGACCCUGGGGCCGGGCCCUUCCAGUGCCCGGCAGAGAGCCCAGCCCCGCCCCCGGAGCCCACCGCGUCGACACCGUGGAAAACUCAGUGUGCUCAAAGCGUCCUCCUGAUGGCUGAAUGUUCGUCCAUGGCAUGUCGCCGCAUCGACCAACCGUGUGGGGCAAGCCCCCCGAAAAUGGCAAUGGAGUUGUGCUGGUCUUGGAGCCCGGUCCGGGCAAGGUGGUGCAUGGCCUCGCCCCGGCCCCUGGGGGCCCGCCCAGGACCUCCGGGCGCAGCGGCGUCGCCCCUCCGGGCGAAGGGAGGUUUUGACCUCCCUCGUCCCGGCCGGGGCGCUCGUUCGUUCGCCCAGCGGGGUCCGCCGGUCCGGCCCCCGGGCUCGGCGAGGUCUGUGCCGAUCGCUGACGAUGGGACCGUUCAGGGUGAAGGAUACUACAGCGCCAGAGGUGAAAUUCUUAGACCGCUGCAAGAUCAACUGCGGCGAAGGCGCUCGGCAGGUGCGUGUUCGUUCGAUCAAGGAUGAGAGUUCGGGGAGCCAAGAUGAUCAGACACCGUCGUAGUCCGCACCGUAAACUGUGCCGGCUAGGCUUUGGCCGGGAAAAUCAAAGGACCCGGCCAGUGCCAUGCCCCCUUCAUCGAGAAAUCCACAGCCUGUGGGUUCAGGGGGGAGUACGUUCGCAAGGCUGAAACUUAAAGGAAUUGACGGAAUGGCACCACAAGGCGUGGAGUAUGCGGCUUAAUUUGACUCAACACGGGGAACGUUACCAGGUCAGGACGCAGCUGGGAUGGACAGACUGAGAGCUCUUUCUUGAUCCUGUGGACGGUGGUGCAUGGCCGCUCCUGAUUGGUGGAGUGAUUUGUCUGGUUGAUUCCGAUAACGAAUGAGAUAUCUGCCUCCCAGUAGCCCCGGGCUCGUAUCCGGUAGGGCUGCGGCCCCGUCCCGGCCCCUCACGCGGGCCACGGCCCUCGCGGUCGGGGUCCCGCGGCGGGGGGGCGCCCCGGGCCGCCCCGAGAGCCUCCCCUCUUGGGUCCAGCUUCUCUGAGGUGCUGUGUACGCUUUCCAAAGUGCACGUAGGCUAGAGCCAACAGCAGGUCUGUGAUGCUCCCAGAUGUCCUGGGCCGCACGCGCACUACAUUGCUCCAGUGAGGGUGUGUCCGCCCGACCCCGUUCGGGCCCUGGCCGGAGGCGGCCGGGAAACCCUGCAAGCCUGGAUCGUACUGGGGAUAGAUGAUUGCAACUGUCUGCCUUGAACGUGGAAUGCCUAGUAAGGGCCGGUCAUCAGCCGGCCCUGAUUGUGUCCCUGCCAUUUGUACACACCGCCCGUCGUUGCUACCGAUGGCAGCUGGAUAGAGCCCCCGGGAGGCCCUCGGCGACCCCUCGCGGGGGACCCCUGGGCCGAAACUGGGCGAUGUCCUGCUGCUAGAGGAAGCAAAA
Molecule: ribosomal RNA, 2449 nt
Filed under: Euglena cantabrica
Lineage: Eukaryota; Euglenozoa; Euglenophyceae; Euglenales; Euglenaceae
Description: bacterial SSU rRNA
Rfam family: Eukaryotic small subunit ribosomal RNA
Source: RNAcentral